This 328-nucleotide unclassified non-coding RNA is filed under the name uncultured fungus. RNAcentral's name for it is "partial contains 5.8S ribosomal RNA, internal transcribed spacer 2, and large subunit ribosomal RNA". The record is from RNAcentral. Lineage: Eukaryota; Fungi.
AACGCAAAUUGCGCCCAAGGCUUCGGCCGAGGGCAUGUCUGCCUCAGCGUCGGCUUACCCCCUCGCACUCCCCCACCUUGUGUGUGUGCUGGAGCGCGGAUCUGGCCCUCUCGGCUCUCCUUUCCAAGGAAAGGAUCCGGGUUGGCUGAAGCCCAGAGGCUUGAGCAUGGACCCCGCUUGUAGGGCAAUGGCUUGGUAGGUAGGCACCCCAUACGCACACCUGCCGUCGCCUGAGGGGACUCUGCUGGAGGCCAAGCAGGAAUCGAAGCCCUAGCUUCGAUCUCUCACUUUCGACCUGAGCUCAGGCAAGACUACCCGCUGAACUUAA